Long non-coding RNA from Oncorhynchus tshawytscha (Chinook salmon), 3356 nucleotides. Lineage: Eukaryota; Metazoa; Chordata; Actinopteri; Salmoniformes; Salmonidae. The record is from Ensembl.
ACCGACAGACGGGUGGGUCAUUUAGAGACCGACCGACGGGUGGGUCAUUUAGAAAACGACCGACAGACGGGUGGGUCAUUUAGAAACCGACCGACAGACGGUGGGUCAUUUAGAAACCGACCGACGGACGGUGGGUCAUUUAGAAACCGACCGACCGACGGGUGGGUCAAUUAGAAACUGACCGACCGAUGGGUGGGUCAUUUAGAAACUGACUGACCGACGGGUGGGUCAUUUAGAAACCGACCCACCGACGGGUGGGUCAUUUGGAAACCGACCCACCGACGGGUGGGUCAUUUAGAAACCGACCGACGGACGGUGGGUCAUUUAGAAACCGACCGACGGGCUGGUCAUUUAGAAACCGACCGACCGACGGGUCGGUCAUUUAGAAACCGACUGAGCUAAUUAAACUGUUAAGCUAUUAAGCCGCUCCCCCUGUUCCCAGGAUGUACAUUGCUCCAGGAUGUUAAACUCUUCCUUUGUGACAUUUCUGAAGGCGACAGCUUUUGUUUGUUGUUUUCUUCUAAUCAGCCCUCGAAGUACCGCACAGCCCAGUUUGUAUUCUUAAUGGUGUUUUGCUUUGUUGGAGAUUUUCUCUUCGUCAUUCAAUACAUUAUUUUUCACAUCUGCAUGCCUCGGUAGUAUUUCCUGGGUAGUAUAUUAUUUUCUCCUCCCCAUUCAUCCAUAUUCAUGCUGCCGAAAAGAGCAAAAUAAAUGUUCCACUCACACGUUUUAGUUUUCGCAAAACAAAGUAUUGAUUUAGCUGUUGCUAUGACAACCAUCUGAAUUUGCUGUCGGUGAUGGUCGCACCCAUUCGCAAUUAUAUGGGACAGUUCAAUAUCGAAAAGGUCAGAGAGACAGACAACGAGGUGCAUACUAAUCUCUGCUGUUGGAAACCAAGUGUUAGUCUAAAAGAAAUGUGAGAUAAUGUCUAGAUGCUUUUCUAUAGUGGAGCUCAAGUUUAUACAUUGCCCGGCUGGGCUGAUGAGACAGUGGAUUGCAGCAGUCAGAUGGAACAGAGUAAAUAGGCAUUUUAACAUCUCAGAUUUAGCCGGUGGCAACUUGUGGAAUAGACACCGGCUGGAAUGCGGUUUCACCCAAUCAGCAUUCAGGAUUAGACUCACCAGUAGUAUUAAAAUAUAAUAUUAUCUCCAGUUCUCCUUCUCCUCGUUGCAAGCACCAUGCUCUACCAACUGAGCUCCAGAGGAACUCUAACCUGAUCUGUUUCCUCUCUCUCUCUCUCUCUCUCUCGCUCUCUCGCUCUCUCUCUCUCGCGCUCGCUCUCUCUCACUCUCUCUCUCUUGCGCGCUCUCGCUCUCUCUCUCUUUCUCUCCCUUUCUUUCUCUGAGUUUGUAUCUUAGUCACUUUAAAUCACUGUCACCACCUAAUGCCCCCCACUUCCCAACCGAUCCAGGACCAGCGUGUACCCCACAACAACGGUGUCACUACUGACGGCGGCAACAAUGAUGAUAACAACAUCAUCAAUAAUGGCAGCAACAACAUCAAUGGCAGCAGCAGCAUCAAUAAUGACAGCAACAACAACAGCAUCAAUAAUGACAACAACAGCAUCAAUACUGACAGCAACAACAACGGAUCAUAUUUACAUAAGUAUUCAGACCAUUUACUCAGUACUUUGUUGAAGCACCUUUGGCAACUAUUACAGCCUCAAUAUUUUCCUCAAUUAUCAGGUCUCUCCAGAGUUGUUUGGUCAGGUUCAAGUCCGGGCUCUGGCUGGACCACUCAAGGACAGUGAGACUUGUCCCGAAGCCACUCCUGCGUUGUCUUGGCUGUGUGCUUAGCAUUGUUGUCCUGUUGGAAGGUGAACCUUCUCCCCAGUCUGAGGUCCUGAGGGAUCUGAAGUAAGUUUUCAUCAAGGAUCUCUCUGUACUUUGCUCCUUUCAUCUUUGCCUCGGUCCUGACUAGUCUCCCAGUCACUACCUCUGAAAAACAUCCCCACAGCGUGAUGCUGCCUCCACGCUUCACAAUAGGGCUGGUCCCAGGUUUCCUAUAGAUGUUGACUCUUGGCAUUCAGACCAAAGAGUUCAAUGUUGGUUUCAUCAGACAAGAGAAACGUGGUCUGAGAGUUCUGUGGAGAGCUCUGUCAGAGCUCCAUCGGGUUUUUGGUCACCUCCCUGACCAAGGAGCUUCUCCACCGAUUGCUCAGUUUGGCCGGGCGGCCAGAUCUAGGAAGAGUCUUGGUGGUACAAAACUGUGUUCUUGGCAUCCUUCGAUGCUGCAGAAAUGUUUUGGUACCUUCCCCAGAUCUGUGCCUCGACACAAUCCUGUCUCGGAGCUCUACGGACAAUUCCUUCGACCUCAUGGCUUGGUUUUUGCUCUAACAUGCACUGUCAACUGUGGGACCUUAUAUAGACUGGUGUCUGGUAAUUUACCACAGAUGGACUCCAAGUUGUAGAAACAUCUCAAGGAUGAUCAAUGGAAACAGGAUGCACCUGAGGUCAAUAUCAAGUCUCAUAGGAAAGGGUCUGAAUACUUAUGUGAAUAAGGUCUUUCAGUUAUAUAUAUAUAUAUAUAUAUACACACACACACACACACACACAGUGGGGCAAAAAAGUAUUUAGUCAGCCACCAAUUGUGCAAGUUCUCUCACUUAAAAAGAGAGUGGAGGACAGAGGAGCCUCUUAAAGAAGAAGUUACAGGUCUGUGAGAGCCAGAAAUCUUGCUUGUUUGUAGGUGACCAAAUACUUAUUUUCCACCAUAAUUUGCAAAUAAAUUCAUUAAAAAUCCUACAAUGUAAUUUUCUGGAUUUUUUUUCCCUCAUUUUGUCUGUCAUAGUUGAAGUGUACCUAUGAUGAAAAUUACAGGCCUCUCUCAUCUUUCUUGUUUACACUUCAUCAUUACGGGGUAUUUGUGUGUAGAUUGCUGAGGAUAUAUAUAUUUUUAAAUCCAUUUUAUAAUGAGGCCGUUAUGUAACAAAAUGUGGAAAAAGUCAAGGGGUCUGAAUACUUCCCGAACAAGGGGGUGUCUGUGUGUCUGUGUCAUCUGUGUGUGUGUGUGUGUGUGUACAUAUAUGAUUACCUUAAGACUCUUGGUGGGUGGAAGGAAGAUCGUUUGUUAUAGGAGGAUGGGUGUUGUAGAAACAGCCCACAUUUCAAACCAGGGACGGGUUUGGAUACAGAAGGACAGGAUUUUAACUUUUUCAUUUGAAACACAAAAAUGUUGUACUAUUUAUUAAAAAUAAAAUUACGUCAGGAAAUGUUUGGUUUUUGUUCAAAAUGUAAAUGUCAACUUUAGGUCAAUUGGCAUUUCUUAUUUUGCUACACUGGUGUGUGGGUUGUUUGUAUGUGUAGCACAAUAUAUUGCUUUCUGCAUGGGAUACUAUUGUGAGAGAAUGACUACAC